UAAGACAGAGGAGGCAAGCGUUGUCCGGACUGACUGGGCGUAAAGCGUCCGCAGGUGGUCGUGCAAGUGCGCUGUGAAAGCGGCCCGCUCAACGGGCCGAGGCCAGCGCAGACUGCUCGACUCGAGGUCGGGAGAGGUCGGUGGAAUUGCCGGUGUAGUGGUGAAAUGCGUAGAGAUCGGCAGGAACACCCAAGGGGAAGCCAGCCGACUGGCCCGCACCUGACACUCAGGGACGACAGCGUGGGGAGCGAACCGGAUUAGAUACCCGGGUAGUCCACGCCGUAAACGAUGGACACUGGUCCUCUGUGCGGUAUCCAUUCCGCGUGGGGGGCUCAGCUAACGCACAAGUGUCCCGCCUGGGAACUACGAGCGCAAGCUUA
This 380-nucleotide ribosomal RNA is filed under the name uncultured bacterium. Its description in RNAcentral is "bacterial SSU rRNA". It matches the Rfam family "Bacterial small subunit ribosomal RNA", at positions 521 to 896 of the family's 1533-position model. The record is from RNAcentral.